UGGGGAAUAUUGGACAAUGGGCGCAAGCCUGAUCCAGCCAUGCCGCGUGGAUGAUGACGGCCCUAGGGUUGUAAAGUCCUUUUAACGGGGAAGAUAAUGACGGUACCCGUAGAAUAAGCCCCGGCUAACUUCGUGCCAGCAGCCGCGGUAAUACGAAGGGGGCUAGCGUUGCUCGGAAUCACUGGGCGUAAAGCGCACGUAGGCGGCUUUUUAAGUCAGAGGUGAAAGCCUGGAGCUCAACUCCAGAACUGCCUUUGAUACUGGAAAGCUUGAGUUCGGGAGAGGUGAGUGGAACUGCGAGUGUAGAGGUGAAAUUCGUAGAUAUUCGCAAGAACACCAGUGGCGAAGGCGGCUCACUGGCCCGAUACUGACGCUGAGGUGUGAAAGCGUGGGGAGCAAACAG
This 403-nucleotide ribosomal RNA is filed under the name uncultured bacterium. RNAcentral describes it as "bacterial SSU rRNA". It matches the Rfam family "Bacterial small subunit ribosomal RNA", at positions 355 to 775 of the family's 1533-position model. The record is from RNAcentral.